Molecule: unclassified non-coding RNA, 186 nt
Filed under: uncultured Discosia
Lineage: Eukaryota; Fungi; Ascomycota; Sordariomycetes; Amphisphaeriales; Amphisphaeriaceae
Description: sequence contains ITS1
Source: RNAcentral
CAGAGUUAACAAACUCCCAAACCCAUGUGAACUUACCAUUGUUGCCUCGGCGGAACCUACCUGGUACCUACCCUGGAGCAGCUACCCUGUAGCUACCCUGGAGCGGUUACCCUGUAGCGCGCCGCCGGUGGACAUUUAAACUCUUGUUAUUUUAUUGUAAUCUGAGCGUCUUAUUUUAAUAAGUUA